AUGGACUUGAUCUCCUCCGAUGAUUCGGCCAUGGCGAGAAGGAUAUGCCUGGUUUGUGCGGAUGGUUUGGAAGGGGCGCCGUCCGGCUCGGUCGAUCUAACCCUGCUUGGGAUUUUGUGUCGAUUCGCCGGAGCAAAUCAACACCCAGAGCAGUGGAUGUUACAGAUCGAUCUCGCGGCGGAGUGGGAGGAAGAAAAUUUCUGGCCGGGAUCGCAGGAGGCUCUGAUUACCAGUUGUGACGAUCCACACGAACAGAUCGCACGAGGGGAAAGGGGAAGAGAUUCAGAGAAGGAGGAAAGUAGCUUUACUAGAUGA
This 315-nucleotide ribosomal RNA is filed under the name Triticum aestivum (bread wheat). Its description in RNAcentral is "partial small subunit ribosomal RNA". The record is from RNAcentral. Lineage: Eukaryota; Viridiplantae; Streptophyta; Magnoliopsida; Poales; Poaceae.